AGAGACAGUAGGGUGAACAGAGGCUGAGAGGCCUGUCUGUUCCAGACUAACACACACGUGGGGAUUCAUUUUGCCUGGGCCAGCGUGGAGACACAACAGGUUGUACAAAGAGCGCUGAGGCUGACAGCCCUGGGCGAUCUCUGUGCUGGCUGCAGGUGGGACAUCCCUCCUCACUUUUGAAGUUCCAGCAGUGUACGCGGCAGGCUCAGCUAUGGUUGGUGGACAUUUCUUUUGAGACCCAGAUUGAGACUUUGAGCUCAGCCGGAUCAUGGUGGCAUACCCAGGCUGUUCCAGCCCCCGGUGGCUUCCAGUCCUUCUCAAGCUCUGCGAGAAAGCCAGACCCGAGAAAGCCAGACCUUGGUUUCUUCCGGCUGUAGUGAGGGGACCAGCAUGGCCCUCAGGAUCCCAGGUACCCAAGGAAAGGAUGGCCGGGCUGACCAGGAAGCAGCACAAGGCAUAUUCUCAGACUUGAAGUAGCUGCCUGCUGAUAAAGGAGAUUAAGGUGCCUGCAGAGGCCAAGAGCAUAUUACUCUGGAGCCUGAGUUACAGACAGCUGCAAGGCACACAAGGUGGACACUGGGGAUUCUGCAAGGGCAGGAGGUGCUCACAGCUGAGCUGCCUCUGCAGUCCUAGCACACCACUGUUUACCUUUGCACUCUGCUCGGAGGCAGCCUCAGCAUCAAGUGACAGCUCUACAUCUGGGGCAUCGACUGCAGAAACACACCCAUGGCUGACACAGCCGCUGCACCCCUGUGCCCAUACCUGCCGCUGCCAAUGGAUGGGAAGGCGAUGGAUUUCAGCUUUCUGUCAUCAGCUAGAGCCAAGCAGUUUUUCACCGUCUUUUCUAGAAGUUCUUCACAUUUGUCUGCACCCCAGACAGGACUAUUACAGUGGAUCACAAACUUGGCAGGCAGGCCAUGGCCUGCACUAAUAGCAGCUGGAAGGGACAAGAAGAAGCGCAUGUCACAAGAGGCCAAACCCACACCUACUCUUCUGCUCGAGUGACCCCCCUAGCCACCUCUGCGGCCUUUGUCCAUGGGAGACUGCAGCUGCCCUCCUGCAGGAACUAGAAACUGCUCUUCAAGCACCUGCCCACUGAGACAGUAGCAUCCGGUUUGCUGCUAACCAGGAGCUGUGGACGGACGUCAGGGUGCCCCUCUGCCCCAGAAGCAUGGUGUGCUCUUGAGAGCGGCUCAGACCACACACCAGCUCCACUGAAUGCUGGUCAGUCCCUGGGGUGGACCUCUGAUGCCCUACACACUGGUCACAGCAGUCUGGCGGUGUGACCUGACCCUGCCCAUGGUGACAAAACAAGAUGGCCUCUCUAGGGGGCAGCUCUUCCCUUUCUUGCAGGAUGAGCCAGUUCCAGCCACACAUCUCCAGGACUGUCUGCUGAGUGAAUGGACAUGCCAAUCUUGGUUUUCCCUUUCUAACUAAGAACGGUGGUCAUGGCACAUAGGAAAUGGGUGUUUAUGUUUCCCAUUAAAAGGACAGCUGGCUGAAGAAGAUGGCUCGCCAGCAGGCUGGCAGGCAGGUGGCUCAGCCUCACCCUCGCUUGUUCCCUUGUUCCCGGCUCUCAGAUCUGUCACACUCUGCUUCUGUAAAUCCUUUGAAUUUGAGAUUGGGACACCAGGCAGACAGGAGCUACUAGGUAACUUUAAGAUGUGAAGGUGGUUUUCAUGAGCCUUUAGCUCUGCUGACACACUGCAUGGGCUGCGUUCUGAGUGCUCAUGCUCACAGGCCUUCUACCUUGCAGACAGUGGCACUGCUAUACACCCUCAGUCCUCAGCUCCUCCCGCGUGUGCCACACCAGUGAGCACGCACCCUUCCAGCCUUACCUCCAGCUACCUCCAAGGGCCCGUUCUUUUUCCGGAGUUCCAGAACAGCUUCUACAAACUCCUUGCCGCCCUUCUUCUCCAGUGUGUUUCCUAGGCAAGGGUAGGGCAGGGUCAGAGUGCCGCCCUGCCUGUGGCACCCAGACACUCAACAUGUCACGUGAUUACAUACUUUACGUGGCCUGAGCAGCUACAGUUUCACAAGACUGCAAAACAGGAUCUACGCCUUGGCUGGUCAGGGAGGGGACCCCUAGGAAGGAUUUACCCUUGGCCAGUGGCCACGAGGCAACACUGUGCUUUCUGGCUCCUUUGACUGACCCCACUCUGGGUGUCCAUUAAUUCGGGUGGGGAUGCCAGAGAUAUGAAGGGGGCAUCUGACCUUGGAAGAUGUGCCUGGCCUGCAUGUUAGCAUGGGCACCUUUAAAACCAGGUGGCAUUUGCUUCCAAUGAGCCCGCUGAGGUUUUAUCUCGGGGAGAAGCCCCACGUGAGGAGGUCCGUGAGCGAGCAGCGAGUGCUCCUCCUACCGAGCACUCCUGGAAGGAGGCCCAGGAGCAAGUGUCCUGCUGGCCACCUCUGGGCCGGCCCUCCAUGCUUAGUUCCUAUUUUGCAGCUUUGGUGUCAUAUGUGAAUUAAAUAAAAGAAAACAAGAAAAAUG
RNAcentral lists this long non-coding RNA (2491 nucleotides) under Mus musculus (house mouse). RNAcentral's name for it is "predicted gene, 47071". The record is from RNAcentral. Lineage: Eukaryota; Metazoa; Chordata; Mammalia; Rodentia; Muridae.